CUGCUUAACCCUCAAAGUGAAGUGUCGUCGUUUGCAGUUCAGGAGAUUGGUGCUUGCAGUAGCUGAAAAAGGGGAAUAUCGCCUAAACGGUUUUUAACCUCUUUUGGGCAAAACGGUCCGUUACAAUUAUAUCACAGGCAGAGGGGAGGAUUUUUGUAUGUAAUUGCUGGGAGUGUUUCUGUAAUAUACGUGUAUGAUUGGUUGUUGUGCAAAACCCUGUGGGUGGUCCUAUCUAAGGGAAACCUGCAUAAAAGAAGGUUCUUUUGGUGCCAGUAAACUUAUUCUGCUUAACCCUCAAAUGAAGUGUCGUCUCAUUAUUGGGGGAAUUGGAUUGUAUGCUGACUGCCAGGAGUGUAAACCUUUCGUAUGGUUUUUCCUGUUCAGCUGUUUCCAGUAUUAGUGAG
This is a non-coding RNA of Pelobates cultripes (western spadefoot toad), 404 nucleotides long. NCBI's taxonomy places the organism in Eukaryota, Metazoa, Chordata, Amphibia, Anura, Pelobatidae. The record is from the annotation of a GenBank genome assembly.